CGAAUCUUGCAAUUCCGGCAGCCUCAAGGGGUGGCAAUGGUCGGAAAAGAAAGCCCAGAAGUGGCUGAUCAUUUUGAGCCUAAGAACGCCGCAAAUGGUCAUCGGAAACUCCAUGAUCGGCGGCAAGGAAAAAUCUGCCGUUCUAGUCACUUCCGCUGCCUGCCGACGCUUCCAGCUACAGCCACUAGCGCCAACGGGCUUAUCGACGAUAGCAGCGCCCCUAGCCACCGCCGCUGCAUCACGGACGAGCCUUUUACACUACCGCCACCGAUGGCCGACAUCCUCUUCCUCUUUUUCCUCUUCUUCUUCUUCUUCUUCUU
RNAcentral lists this long non-coding RNA (320 nucleotides) under Ricinus communis (castor bean). Its description in RNAcentral is "long non-coding RNA (RCOM_LNC002896)". Lineage: Eukaryota; Viridiplantae; Streptophyta; Magnoliopsida; Malpighiales; Euphorbiaceae. The record is from RNAcentral.